Molecule: long non-coding RNA, 239 nt
Filed under: Zea mays
Lineage: Eukaryota; Viridiplantae; Streptophyta; Magnoliopsida; Poales; Poaceae
Description: long non-coding RNA (ZMAY_LNC003956)
Source: RNAcentral
AGGAGAGGAAGAGGAGCUUGGGGAGGAGAUGGCCGGCGCCGAGGGCGAGAGGUGGGUGGGGCUAGCAACGGACUUCUCGGAGGGGAGCCGGGCGGCGCUGCGGUGGGCGGCGGCCAACCUGCUGCGAGCCGGCGACCACCUGCUGCUGCUGCACGUCAUCAAGGAGCCCGACUACGAGCAGAGCGAGGCCAUCCUCUGGGAAUCCACCGGCUCCCGUACGCACCCUUUCUCCAGUCUCC